RNAcentral lists this ribosomal RNA (253 nucleotides) under uncultured bacterium. RNAcentral's name for it is "partial 16S ribosomal RNA". It matches the Rfam family "Bacterial small subunit ribosomal RNA", at positions 524 to 776 of the family's 1533-position model. The record is from RNAcentral.
UACAGAGGUCUCAAGCGUUGUUCGGAUUCAUUGGGCGUAAAGGGUGCGUAGGUGGCGUCGUAAGUCGGGUGUGAAAUUUCGGAGCUUAACUCCGAAACUGCAUUCGAUACUGCGGUGCUUGAGGACUGGAGAGGAGACUGGAAUUUACGGUGUAGCAGUGAAAUGCGUAGAGAUCGUGAGGAAGACCAGUGGCGAAGGCGGGUCUCUGGACAGUUCCUGACGCUGAGGCACGAAGGCCAGGGGAGCAAACGGG